GACGAACGCUGGCGGCGUGCUUAACACAUGCAAGUCGAACGGAAAGGCCCUGCUUUUGUGGGGUGCUCGAGUGGCGAACGGGUGAGUAACACGUGAGUAACCUGCCCUUGACUUUGGGAUAACUUCAGGAAACUGGGGCUAAUACCGGAUAGGAGCUCCUGCUGCAUGGUGGGGGUUGGAAAGUUUCGGCGGUUGGGGAUGGACUCGCGGCUUAUCAGCUUGUUGGUGGGGUAGUGGCUUACCAAGGCUUUGACGGGUAGCCGGCCGGAGAGGGUGACCGGCCACAUUGGGAAUGAGAUACGGGCCAGACUCCCACGGGAGGCAGCAGUGGGGAAUAUUGCACAAUGGGCGGAAGCCUAAUGCAGCAACGCCGCGUGCGGGAUGCCGGCCUUCUGGUUGUAAACCGCUUUCGCCUGUGACGAAGAGCGAGUGACGGUAAUGGGUAAAGAAGCACCGGCUAACUACGUG
This 468-nucleotide ribosomal RNA is filed under the name uncultured bacterium. RNAcentral describes it as "partial 16S ribosomal RNA". It matches the Rfam family "Bacterial small subunit ribosomal RNA", at positions 28 to 507 of the family's 1533-position model. The record is from RNAcentral.